Long non-coding RNA from Aegilops tauschii subsp. strangulata, 916 nucleotides. RefSeq lists it as uncharacterized. NCBI's taxonomy places the organism in Eukaryota, Viridiplantae, Streptophyta, Magnoliopsida, Poales, Poaceae. The record is from RefSeq and is a predicted model, not a curated record.
ACGCUCAUUCCCCUCACUCACCCACUCCCCCAAAUCCCUAGACCGCGGCGGCGACGCACCUCCCCCUCACCUGCGUCGGCGAUGCACCUCCCCCUCACCUGCGUUGGCGACUCAGCCGCGUCGCCGCCCUUCUCCCCAAGCGUCGCCUCCUCGCAUUCUCGUCCGCGCCGCCUCUUCCUCUCGCCCGCAUCCUCUGCAUCACGGUCGAGCCAAAGUUGGUUGUUUUAGCGAGGUCGAGUUGGAGCCUGACGAGCGCGGGCACGGCGGCCUUGUUCUGCUCGACGACGGCGGCGACGGACGCUGGCGCUCCUCGUCGCCAUUGACCUGCAAGGAGGAGCGUCGUGUUGGACGCUGCUGGUGCUCCAUCGCUUCUACGAGUUCCUCGUCACCUGCUCCUAGGUCGCCCCCGAAGUCGAGCUCCCCACGCUCGACCUGCAAGAUGUACUGUGGCCAAGAACUGCUCUCUGCCGCGUGAGUAGAUUGGAAAGGCAAGGCGCAAGAAGCGAUUGGAAAGGCUGCUGCUGCUCCUGGACGAUGCAGCUCCUGAUGCCACUACCUCUUGUCGAUUCGGGCAUGAGCACAUUCUUGGAGUGGAUCUGCAUUUCAAAUAGUUUACAAGUGGGAGUACAUGGAGUACUACAGAUUAAAUCGAGGAGAAGAUGGUCCCUGCUCCGUGAUGAUGCCGCCGUUACCUACGACUUCCUCAACCACCACCACCACGACUUCGUCGAACAUGGUGAGUACUGAGUACUCCUCCAAUGCUUGUACUCCUAUCAAUAUUUACUGUUGUAAUCAUGGGGUAGUUAGCUACUGUAACAUGUUUCCUAGUAGAAUGCCCGUGCGUUGCCACAGGCAUUUUAAAUAAUUAACUGGUUGCAUAUAUAAGCAUAAGACAUGUCAAAUUUUAAGCUAGGAA